UGGGGAAUAUUGGACAAUGGGCGCAAGCCUGAUCCAGCAAUGCCGCGUGGAUGAAGAAGGUUUUCGGAUUGUAAAGUCCUUUCGGCGGGGACGAUGAUGACGGUACCCGCAGAAGAAGCCCCGGCUCACUUCGUGCCCGCAGCCGCGGUAAUACGAAGGGGGCUAGCGUUGCUCGGAAUGACUGGGCGUAAAGGGCGCGUAGGCGGACUGCUUUGUCGGGCGUGAAAUUCCAGGGCUCAACCUUGGGGCUGCGUUCGAGACGGGUAGUCUAGAGUUUGGAAGAGGGUCGUGGAAUUCCCAGUGUAGAGGUGAAAUUCGUAGAUAUUGGGAAGAACACCGGUGGCGAAGGCGGCGACCUGGUCCUUGACUGACGCUGAGGCGCGAAAGCGUGGGGAGCAAAC
RNAcentral lists this ribosomal RNA (401 nucleotides) under uncultured bacterium. Its description in RNAcentral is "bacterial SSU rRNA". It matches the Rfam family "Bacterial small subunit ribosomal RNA", at positions 355 to 773 of the family's 1533-position model. The record is from RNAcentral.